Molecule: ribosomal RNA, 510 nt
Filed under: uncultured bacterium
Lineage: Bacteria
Description: partial 16S ribosomal RNA
Rfam family: Bacterial small subunit ribosomal RNA
Source: RNAcentral
GACGAACGCUGGCGGCGUGCUUAACACAUGCAAGUCGAACGAAGAGCGACGGAAGCUUGCUUCUAUCAAUCUUAGUGGCGAACGGGUGAGUAACGCGUAAUCAACCUGCCCUUCAGAGGGGGACAACAGUUGGAAACGACUGCUAAUACCGCAUACGAUCUAACCUCGGCAUCGAGGAUAGAUGAAAGGUGGCCUCUACAUGUAAGCUAUCACUGAAGGAGGGGAUUGCGUCUGAUUAGCUAGUUGGAGGGGUAACGGCCCACCAAGGCGAUGAUCAGUAGCCGGUCUGAGAGGAUGAACGGCCACAUUGGGACUGAGACACGGCCCAGACUCCUACGGGAGGCAGCAGUGGGGAAUCUUCCGCAAGGGACGAAAGUCUGACGGAGCAACGCCGCGUGAGUGAUGACGGCCUUCGGGUUGUAAAGCUCUGUUAAUCGGGACGAAAGGCCUUCUUGCGAAUAGUGAGAAGGAUUGACGGUACCGGAAUAGAAAGCCACGGCUAACUACGUG